RNAcentral lists this ribosomal RNA (254 nucleotides) under uncultured bacterium. RNAcentral's name for it is "partial 16S ribosomal RNA". It matches the Rfam family "Bacterial small subunit ribosomal RNA", at positions 524 to 776 of the family's 1533-position model. The record is from RNAcentral.
UACGUAGGUGGCAAGCGUUGUCCGGAAUUAUUGGGCGUAAAGCGCGCGCAGGCGGUCCUUUAAGUCAGCUGUGAAAUCUCCGAGCUUAACUCGGAACUGUCAGCUGAUACUGAUCUGCUAGAGUGCGGAAGGGGCAAUCGGAAUUCUUGGUGUAGCGGUGAAAUGCGUAGAUAUCAAGAGGAACACCUGAGGUGAAGACGGGUUGCUGGGCCGACACUGACGCUGAGUGCGCGAAAGCCAGGGGAGCAAACAGG